CCUACGGGUGGCAGCAGUAGGGAAUCUUCGGCAAUGGACGAAAGUCUGACCGAGCAACCCCGCGUGAGUGAAGAAGGUUUUCGGAUCGUAAAACUCUGUUGGUAGAGAAGAACGUUGGUGAGAGUGGAAAGCUCAUCAAGUGACGGUAACUACCCAGAAAGGGACGGCUAACUACGUGCCAGCAGCCGCGGUAAUACGUAGGUCCCGAGCGUUGUCCGGAUUUAUUGGGCGUAAAGCGAGCGCAGGUGUUUAUUAAGGCUGGUGUAAAAGGCAGUGGCUCAAGCAUUGUAUGCAUUGGAAACUGGUAGACUUGAGUGCAGGAGAGGAGAGUGGAAUUCCAUGUGUAGCGGUGGAAUGCGUAGAUAUAUGGAGGAACACCGGUGGCGAAAGCGGCUCUCUGGCCUGUAACUGACACUGAGGUUCGAAAGCGUGGGGAGCAAACAGGAUUAGAUACCCUUGUAGUC
This 464-nucleotide ribosomal RNA is filed under the name uncultured bacterium. RNAcentral describes it as "bacterial SSU rRNA". It matches the Rfam family "Bacterial small subunit ribosomal RNA", at positions 338 to 795 of the family's 1533-position model. The record is from RNAcentral.